GCUCGGGCCGGGCUCGGGAGAGGGCUGGAUCAUGGACGGGCUCCGGGCUAGCGCGGGGCUGUUGAGGCGCGGGCGGUUAAGGCGCCGGCGCCAGCCACAGCCACACAGCGGGUCGGUCCUGGCCCUGCCCUUGAGGCCCAGGAAGAUCCGAAGGCAGCUGAGGAGAAGUGUUGCGUCCCGCAUGGCCGCGCUGAGGGCCCAGACGCUGCCGAGCGAGGACUCGGAGGACUCCAGGGUGGAGUCGACGGUGGACGAUCCCGGGGACCCGCUGCCUGGUGGGGCGGCGGCCCUCUCAGAUGCGGCCCGGCGAGAGCCGUACGGCCCCCUCGGGCCUGCAGAGCUGCUGGAGGCUUCGCCCGGGGCCCGCUCGCUGCAGACCCCGCCGGCGCGCCUGGUGCCGGCGUCCGCGCCGCCCGCGCGCCUGGUGGAGGUGCCCGCCGCGCCGGCCCGCGUGGUGGAGACGUCGGCCCUGCUGUGCUCUGCUCCACACUUGGCGGCCGCCCCACCGUCCGUGGUUCCUGCGACGCUCUCGGGGCCGCAGGUGGAUAGCACAGGCGGGGAGCUAUCCUGGGACUCCCCGCUGCAGCGCGUCUUGGCCGAGCUGAACCGCAUCCCAAGCAGCCGGCGACGGGCGGCGCGCCUCUUUGAGUGGCUCAUCGCGCCCAUGCCGCCGGAUCAUUUCUAUCGGCGCCUGUGGGAGCGGGAGGCGGUGCUGGUGCGGCGGCAGGACCACACCUACUACCAGGGUCUUUUCUCUACCGCCGACCUGGACUCCAUGCUGCGCGACGAGGAGGUGCAGUUCGGGCAGCACCUGGACGCGGCGCGCUACAUCAACGGGCGGCGAGAGACUCUGAACCCGCCCGGCCGCGCCCUGCCCGCAGCCGCGUGGUCCCUGUACCAGGCCGGCUGCUCCCUGCGCCUCCUCUGUCCGCAGGCUUUCUCGACCACCGUGUGGCAGUUUUUGGCUGUGCUCCAGGAGCAGUUUGGAAGCAUGGCAGGCUCCAACAUUUACCUCACGCCCCCCAACUCGCAAGGCUUUGCCCCCCACUACGACGACAUCGAGGCUUUUGUGCUGCAGCUGGAAGGAAGGAAACUCUGGCGUGUCUACCGACCCCGGAUCCCCACUGAGGAACUCGCCCUGACAUCCAGCCCCAACUUCACCCAGGAUGACCUCGGUGAGCCAGUGCUGCAGACUGUGCUGGAACCUGGAGAUUUGCUCUAUUUUCCCCGGGGCUUCAUUCACCAAGCCGAAUGCCAGGAUGGAGUGCACUCUCUGCACCUCACCUUGUCCACGUACCAGCGCAAUACGUGGGGCGACUUCCUGGAGGCCGUACUGCCUCUGGCAGUGCAGGCUGCAAUGGAAGAAAACGUGGAGUUUCGUAGGGGUCUGCCCCGAGACUUCAUGGAUUACAUGGGGGCCCAGCAUUCGGAUUCUAAGGAUCCGCGAAGAACCGCUUUCAUGGAGAAGGUGCGGGUCUUGGUUGCCCGCUUGGGACACUUUGCCCCUGUCGAUGCUGUGGCUGACCAGCGAGCCAAAGACUUCAUCCACGAUUCUCUGCCUCCUGUGUUGACUGAUAGGGAAAGGGCACUAAGUGUUUAUGGGCUCCCAAUUCGCUGGGAGGCUGGAGAACCUGUAAACGUGGGCGCCCAGUUGACAACAGAAACAGAAGUGCACAUGCUUCAGGAUGGGAUAGCUCGGCUGGUGGGGGAGGGAGGCCAUUUGUUUCUCUAUUAUACAGUGGAAAACUCCCGUGUUUAUCAUCUGGAAGAACCCAAGUGUUUGGAGAUAUACCCCCAGCAAGCUGAUGCCAUGGAACUCUUGCUCCGCUCCUACCCAGAGUUUGUGAGAGUAGGGGACCUGCCCUGUGACAGUGUGGAAGACCAGCUUUCCUUGGCAACCAUGUUAUAUGAUAAGGGGCUGCUGCUCACCAAGAUGCCUCUAACCUGAACUAAUUUCUUGUUGAUUGCUGGAAACAACACAGUAGUGAUUCUCUCCUACCACCACCACCUUUUUUGGGGAAAAACUCAUGUUCUUACCUUUAUAACCAUCAGUGUGUUCUCACAUUUACCUUUAUGACUUCUUCAAUGUCACAAAUCUCAGAUGGUCUUCUAGGAACCACCACCUCAUCUAGGCACAAAAUAAAAGCAGAAGUUGGAGGUGGAAAAAAGAGCUAUUUCUGCAGAAGUAACCUCGAUCCCUGAUCAUUUCAGAGCACCAACUUCAUCAUCACCCUCAGGCUUCAGUGUACUGUGUAGCACUUGCUGGGUCACUCUGCUUGAGACAUUAGAAGUUUUUUUUUGGAAUUUGCAUUCUUCAUUUGAGUUCUGUUUCAUCAGUUUGGGGGGAGGGUUGGGUUGGAAGAAACUUCCCCAAAUCUGGCAAGUGAAUAUUCUCAUGGUUGAUGGAAAAGAGCCUGGUGUACCAGAGAGCACUGGACUUGGAACCAGAAGACCUAGGUUUGGGGUGGUGGCUGGUAGGCAGCUGGCUGAAUGACCUGAGGCUGCUGCUACACCUGGGCACACAGAUUUUAAUGAAAAAUGAUGUACAGAGUGUUGAAUCAGGGGUUUGAUGUACUUCUCUGGAAGCAUUAAGAUGGGAUCUGCAUUAUUGCUGUUUCAAGAGCUGCAGGUCGCUGGCGGAAGUGAGCUCAUCCCGGAUGUGACUCCAGUCACGUUGCUGGCGCAGGAAGCUCUGCCACUUGUUGGGGGACACCCCAGGCCUGAGAGGACGCUUGUUCUGGAUCCAUCGGGCAGUGCGCUUGUUCAGUUUUUCCAGCAUGAUGGCCUCCCAGGCUCUAGCCUCCUUCUCAGGCGGCAGAAGCCAGGCUUCCCUCUCCUCCAGGUUCACAUCUGGAGAAAGUGACAGACCUAGCACGUCUGGAUCCUGGCAGGGAUGAAGAAUGAGAGGGCAAGAUGUUUCCGGGACUGCACUCGCCGGCUCUGCUUUCUUCAGCUUCUUAAGAUUGGCAGAGGUUUCUGUCUUCAUAGCUUGGGAGGUGACUCUUGCCGAGGGACCUGAAGAAUCUAAGAACUUGAAGCCAAUGGGUUUGUCAGGUCGGGCCUUCCUGAUCUGGGGAGGCUGGAGGAUGUUGUGUAUGUUAUAGAGGUGGUCAAAGCUGUACUGGCUGUAAGAAAUGCUGGGCAGGCCUCGCUGCCACACCACCUCCUGAGAGAAGAUAUCAAAAUUGAGGCCCAGAGACAUGACUAAGAUCAUCAUACUGGGGAUAGACUCUUGGACUCACGUGACACAUCUAAAGAAAGCACCAAAUCCUGAUUGGACCUGCACACUAUCUGGUAACCUGAAGGUAAAGAUUUCCUGGAAUUGAAGCACAUGACAUCUGAUGAGACAGCUUCCCAAGAUAUCCAAACCAGGACUAGUAGAAGGAUACAAACUUAGAUAGGAAAUGCCUGAGAGGUCUCCCUCCUACCGCUCCUGUUACACACAUGUGACCUUAGUAGGUUUCCAUCUGUUCAUUUUCCCUCUGACAUGGGACACGACACCCAUGAAAGGUCAUUCCUGGCAUCAAGGGGCAAAAGGCUGCUGAAUCUGGAAAAACCUGACUCUUGAUCAGCCAUGCUUUCAGAGAAAGAUCUUAAAAGGGGAAAAUGUGAAAAUUAAUAACAGAAACCUCGUUUAAAAUGGAAUCAGGAGGCAAGAAGAGAGAACUCUCACCCACGUGCAACUCAACACACAACAUAGACUCCAACAGGAAGAGAUGUACCUUGCAUGUCGGACAGGAAGUGAUACUACCCCAGCAGAAGGAAGAAAUUCCCCAGCAACAGCUCAGCCAAUGAGAGACUGCCAUAACUCAGUCAAUGAAAAGCACUACACUUCCAAUGGACUCUUCGUUUACAACAGGCCCUCCCAACUUCAUAAAAGAAUGUUUCUCUCCUUUGUUUCUCUGGACUUGCGUGUAGUUCUCCCUAGCCACAUGUCCCGAAUUGCAAUUGUUUGCAGUUCUCGAAUAAACCCAUUCUGCUGAUAAAAUAACUGGCUGCUUAUUUGUUUUAGGU
Diceros bicornis minor is the source of this 4014-nucleotide RNA transcript. It is a transcript of the gene named ribosomal oxygenase 1, with no coding region annotated. Lineage: Eukaryota; Metazoa; Chordata; Mammalia; Perissodactyla; Rhinocerotidae. The record is from RefSeq and is a predicted model, not a curated record. The transcript has 6 exons.